AAAAAGAUAAACCCUGGGUUUCCGUGUCCAACUUUAACUAUCCGUCUUAUAUGAAAUUUUUUUAUAAUUUGUAUUUUCAUUGUUGUUAGAUGAUAAAACAUGAUUAAUAUUUUAUGCGUGACUUGUCUUUUUAAUUUUUUUCAUAAUUUUUUUAAAUAAAACGGACGAUCAAACGUUGGACACGGAAACCAGGGUUGGUCUUUUU
Molecule: microRNA precursor, 205 nt
Organism: Oryza sativa Japonica Group (Japanese rice)
Lineage: Eukaryota; Viridiplantae; Streptophyta; Magnoliopsida; Poales; Poaceae
Rfam family: MIR812 microRNA precursor family
Source: Rfam